AUUGAACGCUGGCGGCAGGCCUAACACAUGCAAGUCGAGCGAGCGGCGUGGGGGUGAGGAAUGUAUGGGGACUGCCCGAUCGAGGGGGAUAACUACUGGAAACGGUAGCUAAUACCGCAUACUAUCGGAUAACCCAUAUGGGAUUAGCUAGUAGGUGAGGUAAUGGCUCACCUAGGCGACGAUCCCUAGCUGGGCUGAGAGGAUGAGCAGCCACACUGGGACGGAGACACGGCACAGACUCCUCCGGAGGCAGCAGUGGGAAAUAUGGCACAAUGUGCGCAAGCCUGAUGCAGCCAUGGCGGGUGUAUGACGAAGGCCCUAGGGUUGUAAAGUACUUUCAGUCGGGAGGCGUUACCGACAGAAGAAGCACCGGCUAACUCCGUGCCAGCAGCCGCGGUAAUUC
RNAcentral lists this ribosomal RNA (403 nucleotides) under uncultured bacterium. RNAcentral describes it as "partial 16S ribosomal RNA". It matches the Rfam family "Bacterial small subunit ribosomal RNA", at positions 30 to 526 of the family's 1533-position model. The record is from RNAcentral.